GUAGGGAAUAUUGCUCAAUGGGGGAAACCCUGAAGCAGCAACGCCGCGUGGAGGAUGAAGGUUUUAGGAUCGUAAACUCCUUUUGUUAGAGAAGAUAAUGACGGUAUCUAACGAAUAAGCACCGGCUAACUCCGUGCCAGCAGCCGCGGUAAUACGGAGGGUGCAAGCGUUACUCGGAAUCACUGGGCGUAAAGAGUGCGUAGGCGGGAGGACAAGUCAGGUGUGAAAUCCUAUGGCUUAACCAUAGAACUGCAUUUGAAACUAUCCUUCUGGAGUGUGGGAGAGGUAGGUGGAAUUCUUGGUGUAGGGGUAAAAUCCGUAGAGAUCAAGAGGAAUACUCAUUGCGAAGGCGACCUGCUGGAACAUCACUGACGCUGAUUGCACGAAAGCGUGGGGAGCAAACAGGAUUAGAAACCCUAGUAGUCC
This 426-nucleotide ribosomal RNA is filed under the name uncultured bacterium. Its description in RNAcentral is "bacterial SSU rRNA". It matches the Rfam family "Bacterial small subunit ribosomal RNA", at positions 354 to 796 of the family's 1533-position model. The record is from RNAcentral.